UUCCUCUAUUUUAGAGUCAACUC
RNAcentral lists this small nuclear RNA (23 nucleotides) under Arabidopsis thaliana (thale cress). RNAcentral describes it as "snRNA_10615". Lineage: Eukaryota; Viridiplantae; Streptophyta; Magnoliopsida; Brassicales; Brassicaceae. The record is from RNAcentral.